UUAAACACAACUUAUGAUGCAUGAUGUACAAUAAAUAAAGCUACCCUUUAAAAAAUUGUCUUAAAGACAACUUAUGCAACUCUCUUUACAACUAAAUGAUGCAUAAAAAAUAGGGGGCAAACGUAUGCAGAAAAGGAAACCAUGGUGACUGGACAUCACAUGGAUCGAGCAGGGUCUAAUUAUAUCUGUCAAUCCUUUUCAACGAUCCAAUGGUUACAAACACCUUCACACUCUCCUAGAAUCUUCUGCAUUUCAAAUUUUGAUACCAAAGAAUACGCUCCAGUCACCGCCAUCUCUACUCCCUCUCGAUACCAUCAAAACCCUAAAGAUUCACCGCUCAGAUCUUCCAUGUUCUCUCAGUAUGAUUUGAGGGUGAUGGUGCGAAACCCUAACUACAAAGAAACAUAUUUGACCAAAUCUCAUAUAUUUCCUCGACAUGAACACCAAACACCCCUGUUCUGGUAAGAGCUUUCAGAUUUCUAUCUGUGUUAUAAAGCCUUUGUUAUUAUAUUUUGUCUUUGUCCUUUUCGUCAGCUUAUACUAUUCGUUUGAUAAAACUCAGAAUUAAAGAAGGAAAGUUAACAUUCAGAUUCUAUCAGUUUAACCUGUAAUUGAUGGACUUAGAUCUCUUUUUUGUUACAGAUAUUGUGGUUUUAGGGAAGUUUACUGAAAGGAGUUGCAGGAACAAAAAUCAAAGGGACGAAGGGGAACAUAAAGGUGAAUGAAAAAUUGUUGCGUCCUUUUGUUUAAUUUUUUUGCCCCCUCUUUUACGAGCCCUAAAUUGAAAUUUGUCUUACUUGGGUUUUUAAUCUGGUGCAUCUAUAGUCGCAGGGAAUAGUCCAAGUCGUCAAGCAGGGUUGAUUCUUUGCUUUGUCUGACAUUGUUAUUUGCUUUCCUGGGUUAGAUUUUGAUUUUCCUUCCUUUUUGUUUCUUGAUUUCACAUGUUUGAUUGUUCUUCCACAGGUUCUUAUGCUUUUUAGCUCAAAUAAAGCUAUACAUUUUUUGGUCAACAAACCUUCUGAAACACAACCCACCACCACAGUUGUCACUAACCUUAGAUCUUAAGCUCAACACUGCCACAACUCGCCUCCAUUUAACUCUGCUACCAUCACUUCUACUUCAUGGAAACACAUCUAUAUAUCUCUCUCUAAUAUCAUAUCUAAAUCUUCAACACACCUCAGUCUCGCUCUCUUCCUUUCUUUCUUUAUUGAUGCCCCAUCGUUCAGAUCACAUGCAAACACACAGAUUAAUUAUCAUUGUUCCUUUUCUCAUUCGAUCUGUACAAAAGAAACAUAGAAACCAUUUUUUGUCUUUUCGGUGGAAGAUGUUCCAGAUCUGUGUGCAUGUUUUAAGAUGUUUCAUAUUUGUGUGCAUAUUGUGUAUGGUGUAGAUCUAUGUAUGAUUUUGAUUUGUGUUAUCUAAGUAGGUUGAUUAUUUGUAUUUAUUACAUGUAUGUAUUCUUUUUAAUUUUUUUUAGCAAUGGAAAAGAUAAUUGAUCAGGAAGAUGAACAUGGAUGUUCAUAUUGUAAAGGAAUUAAGAAGAAAGUAAGAGUUAGGUUUAUUUUUUUGUUUGGAUCUUGAAUUUUUAGUUUCUGAUUAGAUCUUCUUCAAAAAUUUGAACUCCAACAGUUCUAUGUUUCUAUAAUAAAUUUUGUUAACAAUUUAUGUAAGUUUCUAUAUGUGUCGGUGUGUUUGAAUGUUUUUUAGCAUGUCUACACUUUUUUAUUUAAGUUUUUAAAAGGUUAGAGUAAUAAAUUUACAGAUCCAGAGGUCAGAAAGUAUUUUGUUUUUGUUUCAUUUAAAAUGUAACCAUCUUUUUACCUGGUAAAUUAUUUAACGAUGAAAUAAAAGUUUUAUGUUUUGGUUGUUUAAAAUAAGUUUAAUUGUGUUCAUGUAUGUAAGGUUGUCGUGCGUUUGUAUAUUAAUAUUUGGUGUUACAAGUUUCAUUUCAUGGGUAUAAUUGUGAAAUUUGUAUAUAAUUUGAUAUUUUGUUGUAAAACAACAAUUAAUUAAAAAUAAAGAUGAUUAUCAAUGAAUGAGAAAUGAGG
RNAcentral lists this long non-coding RNA (2048 nucleotides) under Lactuca sativa (garden lettuce). RNAcentral's name for it is "long non-coding RNA (LSAT_LNC003903)". Lineage: Eukaryota; Viridiplantae; Streptophyta; Magnoliopsida; Asterales; Asteraceae. The record is from RNAcentral.